GAUGAACGCUGGCGGCGUGCCUAAUACAUGCAAGUCGAGCGAACAGACGAGGAGCUUGCUCCUCUGACGUUAGCGGCGGACGGGUGAGUAACACGUGGAUAACCUCCCUAUAAGACUGGGAUAACUUCGGGAAACCGGAGCUAAUACCGGAUAAUCUAUUGAACCGCAUGGUUCAAUAGUGAAAGACGGCUUUGCUGUCACUUAUAGAUGGAUCCGCGCCGCAUUAGCUAGUUGGUAAGGUAACGGCUUACCAAGGCGACGAUGCGUAGCCGACCUGAGAGGGUGAUCGGCCACACUAGAACUGAGACACGGUCCAGACGCCUACGGGAGGCAGCAGUAGGGAAUCUUCCGCAAUGGGCGAAAGCUUGACGGAGCAAAGCCGCGUGAGUGAUGAAGGUCUUCGGAUCGUGAAGCUCUGUUACUAGGGAAGAACAAAUGUGUACGUAACUAUGCACGUCUUGACGGUACCUAAUCAGAAAGCCACGGCUAACUACGUG
This 497-nucleotide ribosomal RNA is filed under the name uncultured bacterium. RNAcentral's name for it is "partial 16S ribosomal RNA". It matches the Rfam family "Bacterial small subunit ribosomal RNA", at positions 28 to 507 of the family's 1533-position model. The record is from RNAcentral.